CGUAAGUUUCCUGAGUCCUCCCAAUCUCUACAGAGCUGCAAGUCGGAAGGUAAUGGAAAGACAGCAGAAAUACUAACUGCUCCAGCGCAGCCCUUUAGUCAUUCUCAAGGAACUCUGAUUUCCCUUGUGUCUCUAUGGAAGUGACAAAUGAAAGUGGCCUCUAAAUCAACACGUAGAAGCAAGAGAAGGGCCAGAAAACUCACUGAAACCUCAGAUCCUA
Molecule: long non-coding RNA, 220 nt
Organism: Pongo pygmaeus (Bornean orangutan)
Lineage: Eukaryota; Metazoa; Chordata; Mammalia; Primates; Hominidae
Exons: 3
Source: RefSeq, a predicted model, not a curated record